AAACAUGUCUUUUUGAAUUAUAUUUAAAGUCUAACCUGCCCACUGAAAAAUUUAAAUGGCCGCAGUAUCUUAACUGUGCAAAGGUAGCAUAAUCAUUAGUCUUUUAAUUGAAGGCUGGUAUGAAUGGUUGGACGAGGUAUUAACUGUUUCARUUAAAUUUAUUAUAGAAUUUUAUUAUUUAGUUAAAAAGCUAAAAUUUUAUUAAAAGACGAGAAGACCCUAUAAAUCUUUACUUAAUUAUUUAUUUUAAUUAUAAAGAUUUAUUUAAUUAUAAUAAUUAAUUAAGUUUUAUUGGGGUGAUAUUAAAAUUUAAAAAACUUUUAAUUUAAUUUUACAUAAAUUAAUGAAUAAAUGAUCCAUAAAUUGUGAUUAAAAAUUUAAGUUACUUUAGGGAUAACAGCGUAAUUUUUUUGGAGAGUUCAUAUCGAUAAAAGAGAUUGCGACCUCGAUGUUGGAUUAAGAAAAAUUUCAGGUGUAGUAGCUUGAAAAAUUAAGUCUGUUCG
This 503-nucleotide ribosomal RNA is filed under the name Toxopoda sp. 1 RM-2008. RNAcentral describes it as "partial 16S ribosomal RNA". It matches the Rfam family "Bacterial large subunit ribosomal RNA", at positions 1813 to 2583 of the family's 2925-position model. Lineage: Eukaryota; Metazoa; Arthropoda; Insecta; Diptera; Sepsidae. The record is from RNAcentral.